UACAGAGGUCGCAAGCGUUGUUCGGAUUCAUUGGGCGUAAAGGGUGCGUAGGCGGCGCGGUAAGUCGGGUGUGAAAUCUCGGAGCUUAACUCCGAAACUGCAUUCGAUACUGCCGUGCUUGAGGACUGGAGAGGAGACUGGAAUUUACGGUGUAGCGGUGAAAUGCGUAGAUAUCGUAAGGAAGACCAGUGGCGAAGGCGGGUCUCUGGACAGUUACUGACGCUGAGGCACGAAGGUCAGGGGAGCAAACGGG
RNAcentral lists this ribosomal RNA (253 nucleotides) under uncultured bacterium. RNAcentral's name for it is "partial 16S ribosomal RNA". It matches the Rfam family "Bacterial small subunit ribosomal RNA", at positions 524 to 776 of the family's 1533-position model. The record is from RNAcentral.